Molecule: non-coding RNA, 85 nt
Organism: Parachaetomium inaequale
Lineage: Eukaryota; Fungi; Ascomycota; Sordariomycetes; Sordariales; Chaetomiaceae
Source: the annotation of a GenBank genome assembly
GGCUGCGUGGCCCAGUGGUUAAGGCAUCUGCUUUACAGCGAUUGUGUAUCGCAGAGGAUCGCAGGUUCGAGCCCUGCCGCGGUCA